GAUGAACGCUGGCGGCGUGCCUAAUACAUGCAAGUCGAGCGAACAGACGAGGAGCUUGCUCCUCUGACGUUAGCGGCGGACGGGUGAGUAACACGUGGAUAACCUACCUAUAAGACUGGGAUAACUUCGGGAAACCGGAGCUAAUACCGGAUAAUAUAUUGAACCGCAUGGUUCAAUAGUGAAAGACGGUUUUGCUGUCACUUAUAGAUGGAUCCGCGCCGCAUUAGCUAGUUGGUAAGGUAACGGCUUACCAAGGCAACGAUGCGUAGCCGACCUGAGAGGGUGAUCGGCCACACUGGAACUGAGACGCGGUCCAGACGCCUACGGGAGGCAGCAGUAUGGAAUCUUCCGCAAUGGGCGAAAGCCUUGCGGAGCAACGCCGCGUGAGUGAUGAAGGUCUUCGGAUCGUAAAACUCUGUUAUUAGGGAAGAACAAAUGUGUAAGUAACUAUGCACGUCUUGACGGUACCUAAUCAGAAAGCCACGGCUAACUACGUG
This 497-nucleotide ribosomal RNA is filed under the name uncultured bacterium. RNAcentral's name for it is "partial 16S ribosomal RNA". It matches the Rfam family "Bacterial small subunit ribosomal RNA", at positions 28 to 507 of the family's 1533-position model. The record is from RNAcentral.